Molecule: long non-coding RNA, 274 nt
Organism: Mytilus californianus (California mussel)
Lineage: Eukaryota; Metazoa; Mollusca; Bivalvia; Mytilida; Mytilidae
Exons: 3
Source: RefSeq, a predicted model, not a curated record
GAAGUGUUUAAAGACAGGUUUUACAGACAACCAUGAAGUUAUUCGGAAUCAUAGUCCUUGUUGCUUUGUUGAUGGUAGCAUCAGUUACAAUGCCAGUUGCUGCCUCUGGAAAAUAUAGGAAAGGAUAUAAAGGGUAUAAAGGAAGUCAUUCUAGUGGAGGACAUUCUGGUGGAGGGCACAGUGGGCAUGGCGGUAAAUAUCACGGUGGAAGUUACCGAUAUAGAGGAUGAUACUUUGAAAUCAGAAGUAAUUGUUCUUAUUUAAAAUGAAUAAA